This is a long non-coding RNA of Pseudoliparis swirei, 937 nucleotides long. RefSeq lists it as uncharacterized. The record is from RefSeq and is a predicted model, not a curated record. NCBI's taxonomy places the organism in Eukaryota, Metazoa, Chordata, Actinopteri, Perciformes, Liparidae. The transcript is spliced from 3 exons.
UCAAAGUACACCGACAUAAAACGAAGUCAUGAAUAAAUAAAUGUUGUAAUGCCUGUACCUUCAUGUACAUGUUUACGUUACGGCAUUAACAAGUUACGCCUGCGCGACAGCCGAGAUUCUUGGCGACUUGCCAGGUCUUACCUCCGUGAGUUCGGCUUUUCUGCUGUUGUCCUUCAAAACAAAAGCUCAACAUUUAGCUUUUUCUUGUCUGGUGGAGCAAUCUGGUUUACUUGAAAGUGAUUGCAAUUGUAUUUAUUCUAUUAUUUGAAAAAGCACAGAUGCAGGAGUCACAAAUGGAGAUCUCAUAUUUAUUAUUAUUAUAAUUAUUUAAUUCUUGUUGAAAAAAUCACCAAAUCAAAGACCAGGACCUGGAUUACUGACAGCAGCUCACAGACAGCCUCAGACUGUCUGUCUGCUUAUGAACUAACUACAAGCUCACAGAGUUCAGUCACAGCCGUCACACUGACUGGAGUCACAUGACUUGAUGGCCUUGUGACGAAGCUACACACAGACAGCUGUCUGAAGGUCUGUGGUUUUGGGUUAAUCAUUAUCAAAAAAAUUGCCCCCCCUGAGAAUUUUUUCAGGAGCCGCCACUGGACUCGAGUGUCCAUCAAAAACACACAAAGUCUGAUUUCACAUGAAGUCAGACACCGAAAGAACAAUAAAUAUUCAGAACCAGGAUUUGACCUGAGACCAGAACAUGUAAACCGGGUCCAGACCAGACCAGGUCCACGGGGUCAUGGGUCAUGGACUUCGGGAGGAGGACUAUCAAAAAUGACGAAAAUUGGAUUAAAGCAACAAAACUAAUUCAUUCGCUUCAGGAGAAACCUGCUGGCCCCGAAUCACCACGUCCAGAAAGAACAGCGGGAGUCGCGGUGACUUCAACCCACCUUCAGCAGCUCGUUCCUGGGCAUCGACGUCAGCUUCUCCAGCAUGG